Molecule: long non-coding RNA, 1036 nt
Filed under: Strigops habroptila (Kakapo)
Lineage: Eukaryota; Metazoa; Chordata; Aves; Psittaciformes; Psittacidae
Description: lncRNA (ENSSHBG00005007339.1)
Source: RNAcentral
UCACGGGCAUCAGGUUUAUUCACGUCUCCAGCACCCCACAGACCCCCAGAUGCCCAAAUACCCCCCCGGGGGCAGGGGGCAAUAAAUAAGGAGGGGGGUAAAAGGCACCCGGGGCAGGGGGCAGGAACUGGGCUGCAAUGGUCCAUACUGGGAAAAGCCGUAUGUGCAUUAGAUCCCAGUCAGGGCGCCCUAUCGGUCCAUACUGGUCCAUACUAGGACGAUGCAAGGCCACAGGGGUGAAGAGAUCCUGGGCAAGAUGCUGUACUGGUCCAUACUGGUCCAUUCUGGUUCAUGCUGGGAGGACGCAAGGCCACAGGGAGCCCCCAAAGCGAACCCACAGUCCCCAUAUAUUGUCCAUGGGCUUCCCCCAUUACCCCCCCACCCCUUCGAACCCCCCAUCCCACACCCCCCCCAAUUUACCCCGUGCUGUGCCCCCCCGGGGGCGCCCCCCCCCAGCCCUCCAGGUAGCGGGCGAAGAGCCCCUUGGCGCGGUGCAGGACGCGGGGCAGGUGGUGGCGCCGCACCAGGCGGUCGAAGUGCAUGGCCACCUCGUUGUAGUCCCCGGCGCGGCCCAUCACCGCCUCCCGCUGCUCCAGCAGCAUGGCCAGGCACAGGAAGAGCAGGAAGGGGUUCCCCUGGCCCAGCUCCUCCGGCGGCGGCAGCGGCGCCCCGUCGUCCUCCACCCCCACCUCAUCCUCUGAGGAGGAAGAGGAGCACGAGGAGGAGGAGGAACUUGAGGCUUCCCAAGCCCAAGUGCCACCCCAGGGGUCCUCAGCAGCGGCCAUGCCCAUGCUGGAGUCCUCAUGGAACUCUAUGGGGUCCUCAUGGAACUCUAAGGGGUCCUCAUGGAACGCUAUGGGGUCCUCACGUACCUCUAUGGGAUCUACACCAACCUCUUCGGGGUCUCCAUCAACCUGUUUGGGGCCUUCACCAACCUCAUUGGGGUCCUUACCAACCUCUGUGCGGUCUUUAUCAGCCUCUUUGCAGUCUUCACCCUCUUCGGGGUCUUUACCAACCCUUCUGGGGUCUCCACCAG